Long non-coding RNA from Carassius gibelio (silver crucian carp), 604 nucleotides. RefSeq lists it as uncharacterized. The transcript has 3 exons. The record is from RefSeq and is a predicted model, not a curated record. NCBI's taxonomy places the organism in Eukaryota, Metazoa, Chordata, Actinopteri, Cypriniformes, Cyprinidae.
GUUUCUUAUUUCAAUGAAGAAACUGUUUGUAAUUAAACUUAUCUUUUAAUUCACUUUCAGGUUGCGAGCAGGAACAGCAACAACACACAUGUCAUGAUCUAACUCUCUGUCAGUCUAUAUCACAGCAAUAUUCAGAGGUUCAGUCUAUCAGGAGGCUUUACUGUGCGAUUGGAUCUUCUCAGCACAGCAGACUCCUCCGGUUUCUCCUCAGGAUCUGACCAUCUUCUGUCCUGACAGUGUAAGACCUUGGCUUCACCUCCUCCAGGACUGUGGCUCUUUUAGUCCAGGUAUUGGAAUCCUCAAGUCUUACUGUGUCAUUAUUGGAGAGUGGCUCUAAGCUUUUUGAUGCCUUGUCAUAGUUUGUUUUUUGUCUCAGUUUCAGGUGCUUUUGUUUUCUUUUCAGGUACUUUCUCUUGUUUUCUGUUGCUAAGAAUGGAAGUGUGGUUUGUAACCUGUGCCCCAUCAGUAUUUCAGCAGGAGACACACCGUGUUCUAGUGGAGAAGCACGGUAAUUCAGCAGAGCUAAAUAAGGAUCUGAUUGACUGUCCACUGCUUUCUUGAGUAGUAGUUUCACAAUGUGAACUCCUUUCUCUGCCUUUCCGUU